UCCGGGUUUCGCCCGGCAGUCUCCCUAGAAUAUUCAACACAACAUAGGGGUUGCGCUCGUUGCGGGACUUAACCCAACAUCUCACGACACGAGCUGACGACAACCAUGCACCACCUGUCACCGCUGCUCCGAAGAGAAACUCUAUCUCUAGAGCGGUCAGCGGGAUGUCAAGUCUUGGUAAGGUUCUUCGCGUUGCUUCGAAUUAAACCACAUGCUCCACUGCUUGUGCGGGCCCCCGUCAAUUCCUUUGAGUUUCAGUCUUGCGACCGUACUCCCCAGGCGGAGUGCUUAAUGCGUUAGCUUCGGCACUAAGGGGUGGGCCCCCUAACACCUAGCACUCAUCGUUUACGGCGUGGACUAC
RNAcentral lists this unclassified non-coding RNA (361 nucleotides) under Tumebacillus permanentifrigoris. RNAcentral describes it as "contains 16S-23S intergenic spacer region". Lineage: Bacteria; Bacillati; Bacillota; Bacilli; Caryophanales; Alicyclobacillaceae. The record is from RNAcentral.